RNAcentral lists this unclassified non-coding RNA (154 nucleotides) under Dematiopleospora fusiformis. RNAcentral describes it as "partial internal transcribed spacer 2". The record is from RNAcentral. Lineage: Eukaryota; Fungi; Ascomycota; Dothideomycetes; Pleosporales; Phaeosphaeriaceae.
GUACUCUCAAGCUAUGCUUGGUAUUGGGUGCUUGUCCUCUCCUUUGUAGUGGACUCACCUUAAAUUCAUUGGCAGCCAAUGUAUUGGUCUUGAAGCGCAGCACAUUUUGCGCCUCUAGCUGAUAAUCAUUAGCGUCCAUAAGUAUAUUUAACAC